This 776-nucleotide ribosomal RNA is filed under the name uncultured Neocallimastigales. Its description in RNAcentral is "partial large subunit ribosomal RNA". It matches the Rfam family "Eukaryotic large subunit ribosomal RNA", at positions 22 to 644 of the family's 3401-position model. Lineage: Eukaryota; Fungi; Neocallimastigomycota; Neocallimastigomycetes; Neocallimastigales. The record is from RNAcentral.
AUAGCGACUAUCGUGGCAUAUCAAUAAGCGGAGGAAAAGAAACUAACAAGGAUUCCCCUAGUAACGGCGAGUGAAGCGGGAAGAGCUCAAAUUCGAAAUCUUAAAGGGUUUCCCUUUACGAAUUGUAGUUUAAAGAAGUGUUUUCUGUUGGAGUUUCGGUAAAAGUUCUUUGGAAUAGGACAUCAUAGAGGGUGAGAAUCCCGUAUUUGACCGUUACUUUCCAGCUGUGUGAUACACUUUCAAAGAGUCGGAUUGUUUGGGAAUGCAGUCCAAAAUGGGUGGUAAAUUUCAUCUAAAGCUAAAUAUUGGCGAGAGACCGAUAGCGAACAAGUACCGUGAGGGAAAGAUGAAAAGAACUUUGAAAAGAGAGUUAAACAGUACGUGAAAUUGUCAAAAGGGAAGCGUUUGACACCAGUGUUGUUUAGUUGAAAAUCAAUUCAAUAAUUUUUGAUUUUAAGUAGUAUUGACUUCAUCAGCUUGCUGCUUUCUUUUCAGGAAUUAUUGAAUGCACUUUUCAGUUAACAAGUCAACAUCAAUUUCUUUUGUUGUAAAAGGGUAAGAGGAAGGUGGCUUACGCUUCGGCGUAAGUGUUUAUAGCCUUUUACCUCUGCAAUCGGAGAGAUUGAGGACAGCAGCGUAGACUCCUUCGGGGGUUAGAUACACUUGUGCUAAGCUAUAGCCUUGUAUAGACAACUUGUUGACUAUGCUCAGUCAUGUAGCUUACUCACUUGUGCUAUUUUACCUACGCUUAGGAUGUUGAAGAUAUGCGCGACACG